Molecule: non-coding RNA, 819 nt
Organism: Malus domestica (apple)
Lineage: Eukaryota; Viridiplantae; Streptophyta; Magnoliopsida; Rosales; Rosaceae
Source: RefSeq, a predicted model, not a curated record
UCCAUUUCUGUUCUAUCAAGAUUUCAACUUUCUAUCUGCCUCUGUGUAUUGAUUACUGGGCAUAAGUGCUUGUUCUACAAUGGCUUACGUUCCACCACACAAGCGGCACUCGAAGGAACCGGAGAGGCCAUUGCUGACUCCAGAGCUGCUUGCUCCUCCAUUCAAGAAAAACUUAAACGUCAAGCCAUAUAAUAAGUCUAAUGUGGAAUGGACUGUAAAAAUAGUUUAUGCAGAUCAUUCUACAUCGAGAUGGCUCACCAUUGGUUUGGAUGACGAGAACCAAUUUCUGCCUUCUGUUAAUCUUAUGCCCAUUUACUUGGAGUCCACUGAGCCAAAAGUUGGAGAAAACCGUCUAGCUUUAAUCAAUACUAGUCUAGAUAAUGAAGGUGAUGAGGUGAAAUGGAAUUUGCCAAGGAGUCCUGGGGUAUCUAACAGAAAAUGUGCUGGAAGACUUGGUUUCUUCUUUUAAACACGUGAAGAAUGAAAUGAAGUGCGCAAAGCUCAAAGAAGUAAAUCCUACUUUGAUUGCUAGAGUUGGGAAAGUACUUUUUCGUAGGAGCCCUUCAAUUGACAUGGAAUCCAUCAGAAAAAAUUUGUGUCCUGAAAUCUUGAAACAAUUGAGGAAAUCAUUUUAUACAAACAUUCCUGUUUCAUAUAAGGAAAAUAUUGUGAACGAAGUUGUCCCGAAAAUUGGAGUUGAUUUCGAAGAGGAGAAAGAUACAUUCCAAAUAAAGUUGUCUGAUUCCACCAGACCAGAUGCAACUCUCUCCUGCAAAUGCUGUGUAAUGAAAGAACAUGUAAAGCUACAACUCUACAAGG